RNAcentral lists this ribosomal RNA (492 nucleotides) under uncultured bacterium. RNAcentral describes it as "partial 16S ribosomal RNA". It matches the Rfam family "Bacterial small subunit ribosomal RNA", at positions 28 to 507 of the family's 1533-position model. The record is from RNAcentral.
GAUGAACGCUGGCGGCGUGCCUAACACAUGCAAGUCGAGCGACCAGACGAGGAGCUUGUGCCUUUACCGUUAGCGGGUGACGGGCGAGUAACACGUGGAUCACCUACUUCUAAGUCGGGGAUAAUAACGGGAAACCGGUUACAAUAAUACCGCAUAUGUCGUACCGGUGAGAUCAAGAGUGAAUCACAGCUUUCCCGUUUCUAUGAGCUGAUGCCGGAUUAGCUAGUUGGCUGGGUAAAGGCACACCAAGGCGACGAUGCGUAGCUGAGCUGAGAGGAUGAUCGGCAACACUGGAACUGAGACACGGUCCAGACUCCUACGGGAGGCAGCAGUAGGGAAUAUUGCGCAAAGGGCGCAAGCCUGAUCGAGCCACGCCGCGUGGGUGAUGAAGGUCUUCGGGUCGUAAAGCUCUUUUGUUGGGAAAGAAAAGCUGUAGGUUAAUAUCUGGAUGUUCUGACGGUACCUAAACAAUAAGCACCGGCUAACUUCGUG